GAUGAACGCUGACAGAAUGCUUAACACAUGCAAGUCAACUUGAACUUCGGUUUGGGUGGCGGACGGGUGAGUAACGCGUAAAGAACUUGCCUCACAGCUAGGGACAACAUUUGGAAACGAAUGCUAAUACCUGAUAUUAUGAUUAUAUGGCAUCGUAUAAUUAUGAAAGCUAUAUGCGCUGUGAGAGAGCUUUGCGUCCCAUUAGCUAGUUGGAGAGGUAACAGCUCACCAAGGCGAUGAUGGGUAGCCGGCCUGGGAGGGUGACCGGCCACAAGGGGACUGAGACACGGCCCUUACUCCUACGGGAGGCAGCAGUGGGGAAUAUUGGACAAUGGACCGAGAGUCUGAUCCAGCAAUUCUGUGUGCACGAUGAAGUUUUUCGGAAUGUAAAGUGCUUUCAGUUGGGAAGAAAAAAAUGACGGUACCAACAGAAGAAGUGACGGCUAAAUACGUG
This 454-nucleotide ribosomal RNA is filed under the name uncultured bacterium. RNAcentral describes it as "partial 16S ribosomal RNA". It matches the Rfam family "Bacterial small subunit ribosomal RNA", at positions 28 to 507 of the family's 1533-position model. The record is from RNAcentral.